AUACGGAGGGUGCAAGCGUUAUUCGGAAUCACUGGGCGUAAAGGACGCGUAGGCGGGUUGGCAAGUCAGAUGUGAAAUCCUACAGCUUAACUGUAGAACUGCAUUUGAAACUGCUAACCUAGAGUAUGGGAGGGGGAGAUGGAAUUAGUGGUGUAGGGGUAAAAUCCGUAGAUAUCACUAGGAAUACCGAAAGCGAAGGCGAUCUCCUGGAACAUAACUAACGCUAAGGCGUGAAAGCGUGGGGAGCAAACAGGAUUAGAAACCCCAGUAGUCC
This 274-nucleotide ribosomal RNA is filed under the name uncultured bacterium. RNAcentral's name for it is "partial 16S ribosomal RNA". It matches the Rfam family "Bacterial small subunit ribosomal RNA", at positions 523 to 796 of the family's 1533-position model. The record is from RNAcentral.